Molecule: ribosomal RNA, 301 nt
Filed under: uncultured bacterium
Lineage: Bacteria
Description: partial 16S ribosomal RNA
Rfam family: Bacterial small subunit ribosomal RNA
Source: RNAcentral
CAGCAGCCGCGGGAAUACGUAGGUGGCAAGCGUUGUCCGGAAUUAUUGGGCGUAAAGGGCUCGCAGGCGGUUUCUUAAGUCUGAUGUGAAGGCCCCCGGCUCAACCGGGGAGGGUCAUUGGAAACUGGGAAACUUGAGUGCAGAAGAGGAGAGUGGAAUUCCACGUGUAGCGGUGAAAUGCGUAGAGAUGUGGAGGAACACCAGUGGCGAAGGCGACUCUCUGGUCUGUAACUGACGCUGAGGAGCGAAAGCGUGGGGAGCGAACAGGAUUAGAGACCCCUGUAGUCCCUGUCUCUUAUAC